GUCUUGAAAUUUCUUUUCUCUACACUGUCGUUCAAGAAACGAGGCGUUUUAAAUGUAAAGAUUACUUUGCACUUUUGAAAUCAACACUGACUGAUUCAAUAUUCAUAGGAAGAUUAAUUUCACGGCUGAUAUAAGUAGCGGUAACAGGAAAGACAUGAACCUCCUGUACGCAGAUUCAAUUUAGUUUGUAGAUAAUAUGUUACAUACAGUGAUAUAGAAGCUACGAAUUUUCGUUAGAAUAAUAUUUAACGUUCUUAAAAAGUCCCUUUUGUAGAUAUCAAGGCGAUCAGAAAAUCGCAAAAAAAUCAUUUGAAAUGUGUUUUUCUGACACUGUACGCAGACAAAUACCCCCAAAAUGGGUCUUAAAUGCAGUUUAAUCUUGUCAAAAUAGAUGUAAGGUGUGUUUAUUAUUAAUGUUCUGAAUCACAAAUCCGAC
RNAcentral lists this long non-coding RNA (436 nucleotides) under Mytilus galloprovincialis (Mediterranean mussel). Lineage: Eukaryota; Metazoa; Mollusca; Bivalvia; Mytilida; Mytilidae. The record is from RNAcentral.